This 468-nucleotide ribosomal RNA is filed under the name uncultured bacterium. Its description in RNAcentral is "partial 16S ribosomal RNA". It matches the Rfam family "Bacterial small subunit ribosomal RNA", at positions 28 to 507 of the family's 1533-position model. The record is from RNAcentral.
GACGAACGCUGGCGGCGUGCUUAACACAUGCAAGUCGAACGGAAAGGCCCUGCUUUUGUGGGGUGCUCGAGUGGCGAACGGGUGAGUAACCCGUGAGUAACCUGCCCUUGACUUUGGGAUAACUUCAGGAAACUGGGGCUAAUACCGGAUAGGAGCUCCUGCUGCAUGGUGGGGGUUGGAAAGUUUCGGCGGUUGGGGAUAGACUCGCGGCUUAUCAGCUUGUUGGUGGGGUAGUGGCUUACCAAGGCUUUGACGGGUAGCCGGCCUGAGAGGGUGACCGGCCACAUUGGGACUGAGGUACGGCCCAGAGUCCUACGGGAGGCAGCAGGCGGGAAUAUUGCACAAUGGGCGGAAGCCUGAUGCAGCAACGCCGCGUGCGGGAUGACGGCCUUCGGGUUGUAAACCGCUUUCGCCUGUGACGAAGCGUGAGUGACGGUAAUGUGUAAAGAAGCACCGGCUAACUACGUG